This 57-nucleotide microRNA precursor is filed under the name Heligmosomoides polygyrus. RNAcentral describes it as "microRNA hpo-mir-252 precursor". Its record names the gene hpo-mir-252. It matches the Rfam family "mir-252 microRNA precursor family", at positions 9 to 70 of the family's 77-position model. Lineage: Eukaryota; Metazoa; Nematoda; Chromadorea; Rhabditida; Heligmosomidae. The record is from miRBase by way of RNAcentral.
CUAAGUAGUGGUGCCGCAGGUAACCUACGUGCGAUUACCUGCUGUCUGCUGCUUACC